GGAGGAAGUAGUGACGGGAUUGGUUGAUAUACACAUGAGCGUGAGCAGUGGACGGGUGCGAUCAUAUCAGGACUAAUGCACCGGAUCCCAUCAGAACUCCGAAGUUAAACGUGCUUGGGCGAGAGUAGUACUAAGAUGGGUGACCUCUUGGGAAGUCCUCGUGUUGCACCCCCUCCUUUUGCAAUUUUUCUCCGGCGACGUUAUGGACAUGCUUAGCGAGGUUACAUCGUUUAUAUUACAUGCAUAAUGACGGAGGCGAACCGAGAGGGCGGGUAUUUUCGAGCAAAAUGUAAUCAAAAAAAGCGAAAGUCGUGAAAAUGAAGGGAGGAAGUAUUGACGAGAGUGGUUAAAAUACACGUGAUCGUGAUAAGUGGACGGGAGUGAUCAUAUCACCACUAAUACACCGGAUCCCAUCAGAACUCCGAAGUUAAACGUGCUUAGGCGAGAGUAGUACCAAGAUGGGUGACCUCUUGGGAAGUCCUCGUAAUACACCCCCUCUUUUUGCAAUUUUUCCCCUGGCAACGUUAUCGACACGCUUACCGAGAUUACAUAGUUUAUAUUACAUGCAUAAUGACAGAGGCAAAACUGAGAGGGCUGGUAUUUUCGAGCAAAAUGUAAUUAUAGAAAGCGAAAGCCGUGAAAAUGAAGGGAGGAAGUAGUGACGGGAGUGGUUCAAAUACACAUGAUCGUGAUAAGUGUACGGGUCCGAUCAUAUCACCACUAAUACACCGGAUCCCAUCAGAACUCCGAAGUUAAACAUGCUUGGGCGAGAGUAGUACUAAGAUGGGUGACCUCUUGGGAAGUCCUCGUGUUGAACCCUCCUCUCUACACAAAAUGUUUUGCCCCCUGCUUUUUCCCCUGGCAACGUUAUCGACAAGCUUACCGUGAUUAUAUAGUUUAUAUUACAUGCAUAAUGAAGGAGGCGAACCGAGAGGGCGGGUAUUUUCGAGCAAAAUGUAAUUAAAGAAAGCCAAAGCCGUGAAAAUGAAGGGAGGAAGUAGUGACGAGAGUGGUUCAAAUACACGUGAUCGUGAGAAGUGGACGGGUGCGAUCAUACCAGCACUAAUGCACCGGAUCCCAUCAGAACUCCGAAGUUAAACGUGCUUGGGCGAGAGUAGUACUAAGAUGGGUGACCUCUUGGGAACUCCUCGUGUUGCACCCCCUCCUUUUGCAAUUUUCCUCCGGCGACGUUAUCGACACGCUUAGCGAGGUUACAUCGUUU
This 1222-nucleotide long non-coding RNA is filed under the name Linum usitatissimum (flax). The record is from RNAcentral. Lineage: Eukaryota; Viridiplantae; Streptophyta; Magnoliopsida; Malpighiales; Linaceae.